RNAcentral lists this ribosomal RNA (562 nucleotides) under Lactiplantibacillus plantarum. Its description in RNAcentral is "Lactobacillus plantarum partial 16S ribosomal RNA". It matches the Rfam family "Bacterial small subunit ribosomal RNA", at positions 202 to 757 of the family's 1533-position model. The record is from RNAcentral. Lineage: Bacteria; Bacillati; Bacillota; Bacilli; Lactobacillales; Lactobacillaceae.
GGCUUCNGCUAUCACUUUUGGANGGUCCCGCGGCGUAUUAGCUAGAUGGUGNGGUAACGGCUCACCAUGGCAAUGAUACGUAGCCGACCUGAGAGGGUAAUCGGCCACAUUGGGACUGAGACACGGCCCAAACUCCUACGGGAGGCAGCAGUAGGGAAUCUUCCACAAUGGACGAAAGUCUGAUGGAGCAACGCCGCGUGAGUGAAGAAGGGUUUCGGCUCGUAAAACUCUGUUGUUAAAGAAGAACAUAUCUGAGAGUAACUGUUCAGGUAUUGACGGUAUUUAACCAGAAAGCCACGGCUAACUACGUGCCAGCAGCCGCGGUAAUACGUAGGUGGCAAGCGUUGUCCGGAUUUAUUGGGCGUAAAGCGAGCGCAGGCGGUUUUUUAAGUCUGAUGUGAAAGCCUUCGGCUCAACCGAAGAAGUGCAUCGGAAACUGGGAAACUUGAGUGCAGAAGAGGACAGUGGAACUCCAUGUGUAGCGGUGAANNGCNNAGAUAUAUGGAAGAACACCCNUUGGCNAANGCGGNUGUCUNGNCNGNNANUGACNCUGAGGCUCNAA